Molecule: ribosomal RNA, 1686 nt
Filed under: Escherichia coli
Lineage: Bacteria; Pseudomonadati; Pseudomonadota; Gammaproteobacteria; Enterobacterales; Enterobacteriaceae
Description: partial 23S ribosomal RNA
Rfam family: Bacterial large subunit ribosomal RNA
Source: RNAcentral
GAAAGCGUAAUAGCUCACUGGUCGAGUCGGCCUGCGCGGAAGAUGUAACGGGGCUAAACCAUGCACCGAAGCUGCGGCAGCGACGCUGAUGCGUUGUUGGGUAGGGGAGCGUUCUGUAAGCCUGCGAAGGUGUGCUGUGAGGCAUGCUGGAGGUAUCAGAAGUGCGAAUGCUGACAUAAGUAACGAUAAAGCGGGUGAAAAGCCCGCUCGCCGGAAGACCAAGGGUUCCUGUCCAACGUUAAUCGGGGCAGGGUGAGUCGACCCCUAAGGCGAGGCCGAAAGGCGUAGUCGAUGGGAAACAGGUUAAUAUUCCUGUACUUGGUGUUACUGCGAAGGGGGGACGGAGAAGGCUAUGUUGGCCGGGCGACGGUUGUCCCGGUUUAAGCGUGUAGGCUGGUUUUCCAGGCAAAUCCGGAAAAUCAAGGCUGAGGCGUGAUGACGAGGCACUACGGUGCUGAAGCAACAAAUGCCCUGCUUCCAGGAAAAGCCUCUAAGCAUCAGGUAACAUCAAAUCGUACCCCAAACCGACACAGGUGGUCAGGUAGAGAAUACCAAGGCGCUUGAGAGAACUCGGGUGAAGGAACUAGGCAAAAUGGUGCCGUAACUUCGGGAGAAGGCACGCUGAUAUGUAGGUGAAGUCCCUUGCGGAUGGAGCUGAAAUCAGUCGAAGAUACCAGCUGGCUGCAACUGUUUAUUAAAAACACAGCACUGUGCAAACACGAAAGUGGACGUAUACGGUGUGACGCCUGCCCGGUGCCGGAAGGUUAAUUGAUGGGGUCAGCGCAAGCGAAGCUCUUGAUCGAAGCCCCGGUAAACGGCGGCCGUAACUAUAACGGUCCUAAGGUAGCGAAAUUCCUUGUCGGGUAAGUUCCGACCUGCACGAAUGGCGUAAUGAUGGCCAGGCUGUCUCCACCCGAGACUCAGUGAAAUUGAACUCGCUGUGAAGAUGCAGUGUACCCGCGGCAAGACGGAAAGACCCCGUGAACCUUUACUAUAGCUUGACACUGAACAUUGAGCCUUGAUGUGUAGGAUAGGUGGGAGGCUUUGAAGUGUGGACGCCAGUCUGCAUGGAGCCGACCUUGAAAUACCACCCUUUAAUGUUUGAUGUUCUAACGUUGACCCGUAAUCCGGGUUGCGGACAGUGUCUGGUGGGUAGUUUGACUGGGGCGGUCUCCUCCUAAAGAGUAACGGAGGAGCACGAAGGUUGGCUAAUCCUGGUCGGACAUCAGGAGGUUAGUGCAAUGGCAUAAGCCAGCUUGACUGCGAGCGUGACGGCGCGAGCAGGUGCGAAAGCAGGUCAUAGUGAUCCGGUGGUUCUGAAUGGAAGGGCCAUCGCUCAACGGAUAAAAGGUACUCCGGGGAUAACAGGCUGAUACCGCCCAAGAGUUCAUAUCGACGGCGGUGUUUGGCACCUCGAUGUCGGCUCAUCACAUCCUGGGGCUGAAGUAGGUCCCAAGGGUAUGGCUGUUCGCCAUUUAAAGUGGUACGCGAGCUGGGUUUAGAACGUCGUGAGACAGUUCGGUCCCUAUCUGCCGUGGGCGCUGGAGAACUGAGGGGGGCUGCUCCUAGUACGAGAGGACCGGAGUGGACGCAUCACUGGUGUUCGGGUUGUCAUGCCAAUGGCACUGCCCGGUAGCUAAAUGCGGAAGAGAUAAGUGCUGAAAGCAUCUAAGCACGAAACUUGCC